CCCUUAGACGUUCUGGGCCGCACGCGCGCUACACUGACCAGUGCAACAAGCAUCCGUCCUUGGCCGACAGGCCCGGGCAAUCUUUGAACGCUGGUCGUGAUGGGGAUAGACUUUUGCAAUUUUUGGUCUUCAACGAGGAAUUCCUAGUAAACGCAAGUCAUCAACUUGCAUUGAAUACGUCCCUGCCCUUUGUACACACCGCCCGUCGCUCCUACCGAUCGAAGAGUUAGGUGAAUUGUUUUGAUCGAUAAGAUUUGACUAUGGUCAACUCUCGUUGUGAAAUUCUGUGAAUCUGACUGUUUAGAGGAAGGAAAAGUCGUAACA
This 324-nucleotide ribosomal RNA is filed under the name uncultured eukaryote. RNAcentral describes it as "partial 18S ribosomal RNA". It matches the Rfam family "Eukaryotic small subunit ribosomal RNA", at positions 1470 to 1796 of the family's 1831-position model. The record is from RNAcentral.